Gastrolobium bilobum is the source of this 248-nucleotide long non-coding RNA. RefSeq lists it as uncharacterized. Lineage: Eukaryota; Viridiplantae; Streptophyta; Magnoliopsida; Fabales; Fabaceae. The transcript has 3 exons. The record is from RefSeq and is a predicted model, not a curated record.
CAUUCUUUGUUUUCUGUGUUCAUAGCUUUUCAAGCCACCACCACCGAGAGUUUCAAGAAAUAAGGUUGUUGUCAUAUACGGUCUUCUAAAUCUUGUUGUCGCUAGUUUUUCAUACCAUAGAUAUUGUAGAUUGAAGACUUGGUUGGGCUCCCCAACUGGUGUCAGAUGUUCUUCUGCAGCUAGCCAUGAAUCGCAUACUCAAGCGCCAUUACCAAAUGAUAUUUAAACUCUAGGACAAUUAUCUCAGC